CGGAGGAUCCAAGCGUUAUCCGGAAUCAUUGGGUUAAAGGGUCCGUAGGCGGUUUGAUAAGUCAGUGGUGAAAGCCCAUCGCUCAACGAUGGAACGGCCAUUGAUACUGUCAGACUUGAAUUACUGGGAAGUAACUAGAAUAUGUAGUGUAGCGGUGAAAUGCUUAGAUAUUACAUGGAAUACCAAUUGCGAAGGCAGGUUACUACCAGUGGAUUGACGCUGAUGGACGAAAGCGUGGGGAGCGAACAGGAUUAGAUACCCUGGUAGUCCACGCCGUAAACGAUGGAUACUAGCUGUUCGGAGCAAUCUGAGUGGCUAAGCGAAAGUGAUAAGUAUCCCACCUGGGGAGUACGUUCGCAAGAAUG
RNAcentral lists this ribosomal RNA (365 nucleotides) under uncultured organism. RNAcentral's name for it is "bacterial SSU rRNA". It matches the Rfam family "Bacterial small subunit ribosomal RNA", at positions 526 to 896 of the family's 1533-position model. The record is from RNAcentral.